RNAcentral lists this ribosomal RNA (465 nucleotides) under uncultured bacterium. RNAcentral's name for it is "partial 16S ribosomal RNA". It matches the Rfam family "Bacterial small subunit ribosomal RNA", at positions 30 to 506 of the family's 1533-position model. The record is from RNAcentral.
CGAACGCUGGCGGCGUGCUUAACACAUGCAAGUCGAACGGAAAGGCCCUGCUUUUGUGGGGUGCUCGAGUGGCGAACGGGUGAGUAACACGUGAGUAACCUGCCCUUGACUUUGGGAUAACUUCAGGAAACUGGGGCUAAUACCGGAUAGGAGCUCCUGCUGCAUGGUGGGGGUUGGAAAGUUUCGGCGGUUGGGGAUGGACUCGCGGCUUAUCGGCUUGUUGGUGGGGUAGUGGCUUACCAAGGCUUUGACGGGUAGCCGGCCUGAGAGGGUGACCGGCCACAUUGGGACUGAGAUACGGCCCAGACUCCUACGGGAGGCAGCAGUGGGGAAUAUUGCACAAUGGGCGGAAGCCUGAUGCAGCAACGCCGCGUGCGGGAUGACGGCCUUCGGGUUGUAAACCGCUUUCGCCUGUGACGAAGCGUGAGUGACGGUAAUGGGGAAAGAAGCACCGGCUAACUACGU